RNAcentral lists this long non-coding RNA (474 nucleotides) under Crocodylus porosus (Australian saltwater crocodile). RNAcentral describes it as "lncRNA (ENSCPRG00005009876.1)". The record is from RNAcentral. Lineage: Eukaryota; Metazoa; Chordata; Crocodylia; Crocodylidae.
CUUCUCUUGUCUAGACAGAAUGGAAAGCCCCUGAUAUUGCAGAAUCUCAUUCAUCACCAUGAUCUGAAGUACUCAGAGCAGACAAUAUUAUGCACACAAAAGAAGUAGGAAGACUGCAAACUCCUUUAAAAGAAACAAGCCUGGAACCAUGGACCCAGCCCCAGGACAGGGCAGUAGCUGAGGUUGUCAUCACCCUGAAGAAGAUAGCCUUGAUAUCUCUAAUUGCAAGUUUGUCCUUCAUUUGAGCCUAAGUAAGUUACUGUUAAGUCAGCUUUAAUUAUUUACUUCUGCUCUGUCCUGUUGUAUCAGAGAUCAUUUCCCUGACCCGCUUAUGCUUCCCCCAUCCAUCCAUGAUACAGAAGUUGUAAAAUAUUUUCCUUUCUUCUGUGCUUUGCCUGUAAUGAUUAAUACUGAACCAGGUGAUGAAUGUGAACAAAAGGGUGGCAAUUACAAUUUCAUUAAUCACUUAAUAAU